RNAcentral lists this long non-coding RNA (487 nucleotides) under Actinidia chinensis (golden kiwifruit). Its description in RNAcentral is "long non-coding RNA (ACHI_LNC002668)". The record is from RNAcentral. Lineage: Eukaryota; Viridiplantae; Streptophyta; Magnoliopsida; Ericales; Actinidiaceae.
CCUCGUAGAAAUCAGUUAUCAAUUAAUAACAUGUUAACAGUGAAGAUCUUACUGCCAACAACUAAAACGAAAUAGAGAGCAUUACAAAAUCGAGCACUACUGAUUAGGUUUGAAAAAAGAGCACAAACCUAUAACAAAAAAUAACAACUAAAACGAAAUAGAGAGCAUUACAAAAUAGAGCACUAAUGAUUAGGUUUGAAAAAAGAGCACAAAACUGUAACAAAAAAUAUGGUUUGGUUAAUUAAAUACUAAACAUACUCGAGUUAUCUCACAUGGAUGCAAAGAACGGAGACAAAAGACUCAAGGUGAUUUGAAGGCUAAGGGGUUUUCCCAUAACCUAAUUCAGUAGUUGAACUAAAUUAAGAUCGCUUGACACUAACAAUUCAUAUAACUUAAAAAAUUAAGUGCCUCUUUAAAUGAAGGAUAAACUUAAAAAUAUUUUAGCAUCCCUCCUACUUGAUGCUUACUGAAUUUGUAACUAUUUAUG